This is a long non-coding RNA of Mobula hypostoma (lesser devil ray), 927 nucleotides long. RefSeq lists it as uncharacterized. The record is from RefSeq and is a predicted model, not a curated record. The transcript is spliced from 5 exons. Lineage: Eukaryota; Metazoa; Chordata; Chondrichthyes; Myliobatiformes; Myliobatidae.
GUGUCGGGGACUGCUGGGUCUUUUUCUGACGGAGCGCAGCGGGGGGAAUUCGGGUUCUCCGGGUAAUGUUUCGGGUACUGUGGUGGGUUGGUCCUGCACAAUAGAGGACAGAGAAGAGUAGAGUAGAUUUAGAUCUGGAGUAACUGAAUCACUUCAGAAUGGAGAGCCAUAAGCACAAAGAAUUUAUUAAGCAGUGUAUCAUACACUGGAAAACAUCAAAAGAAGAUGAUGACCACUUAGUCCUCAAGACUAUGAAUCCUGGAAAACAUUACUUGAAGCAGCCAAGGUGAGAAUCUCUGCCCCUAUUUUAGACAUUGCUAAAGAACUUGGAGAAAGAAGUCCCAAGAAUCUCAAUCAUCAUGGCUGGCUUUGAGAAUGAAGACUUAGGAAGGGGGCUGCCCAUGUCUGCUACAGGCUUGCUGGCUGGUGGCUGACGAGGCCAAUACGAGACAGGCAGGCCCGGCCACAGCGGCUGCAAAAGAUAUUCUGUUCUGGGUUUGGUGCUGCUGUGUCACGGUUCUCCCUCCUCCUCCUUUUGUCCUCAAUGCCAGCCCUGCGUGCGUUCUACCCAGGAAUCUACUAUCACCGAAGAUGCUGAGGCUUCAUGAAGAGAGACUCUGAAAAGGAAAGCAUUACUGAUGAAGCUGGCACACUGAAUUUUGCCCUUGUGAAUGUGGAUGAAAAUGUGAGGAAGGCUGGGAUCAGGCACCUAAUGAGAAGAAUGUUUAAUAAAGUUGGAUGAGACUGGUACCCCAAUGCUCUAACAAGAGAGCAGUGUGAUCUUCAGGUGGGCUCCUGAACGAAGUGCAUUUGACUUCUUUUUGAAGCUGCCAACUUUUGACGUUCAGAGGCUGAAAUCAACAGUUCUGUUGAAUGUGUACUAGUAUUUUCUUGGUAUUUCACAUUUAAAUAAAAGUUUAUGUUGAA